RNAcentral lists this ribosomal RNA (253 nucleotides) under uncultured bacterium. RNAcentral describes it as "partial 16S ribosomal RNA". It matches the Rfam family "Bacterial small subunit ribosomal RNA", at positions 524 to 776 of the family's 1533-position model. The record is from RNAcentral.
UACGUAGGAUGCAAGCGUUGUCCGGAAUUAUUGGGCGUAAAGAGCGAGCAGGCGGUUUGGAAAGUUGGACGUGAAAUUUUAGGGCUUAACCCUAAAGGGUCGUCCAAAACUCCCAGACUAGAGUGCAGGAGAGGAAAGCGGAAUUCCCGGUGUAGCAGUGAAAUGCGUAGAGAUCGGGAGGAACACCAGUGGCGAAGGCGGCCUUCUGGACCAGUACUGACGCUCAUGCACGAAAGCGUGGGGAGCAAACAGG